This 26-nucleotide non-coding RNA is filed under the name Homo sapiens (human). The record is from RNAcentral. Lineage: Eukaryota; Metazoa; Chordata; Mammalia; Primates; Hominidae.
UUAGGCCCAAGGAUGGCAUGUGACUG